UACGAAGGGGGCUAGCGUUGCUCGGAUUUACUGGGCGUAAAGGGCGCGUAGGCGGACAGUUAAGUUGGGGGUGAAAGCCCGGGGCUCAACCUCGGAACUGCCUUCAAUACUGGCUGUCUUGAGUGUGAGAGAGGUGUGUGGAACUCCGAGUGUAGAGGUGAAAUUCGUAGAUAUUCGGAAGAACACCAGUGGCGAAGGCGACACACUGGCUCACUACUGACGCUGAGGCGCGAAAGCGUGGGGAGCGAUCCGG
Molecule: ribosomal RNA, 253 nt
Filed under: uncultured bacterium
Lineage: Bacteria
Description: partial 16S ribosomal RNA
Rfam family: Bacterial small subunit ribosomal RNA
Source: RNAcentral